CGCGAAACCUUUACACUGCACGACAGUGCGAUAAGGGAAUCCCAAGUGCACAGGCAUAGAGCCUGUGCUUUUCUGAACCGUAGGGAGGUUCAGGAACAAGGGCUGGGCAAGACCGGUGCCAGCCGCCGCGGUAAUACCGGCAGCCCAAGUGAUGGCCGAUUUUAUUGGGCCUAAAGCGUCCGUAGCUGGCCGCGCAAGUCUAUCGGGAAAUCUAUCCGCUCAACGGAUAGACGCCCGGUGGAAACUGCGUGGCUUGGGACCGGAAGGCGCGAAGGGUACGUCCGGGGUAGGAGUGAAAUCCUGUAAUCCUGGACGGACCGCCGAUGGCGAAAGCACUUCGCGAGGACGGAUCCGACAGUGAGGGACGAAAGCUAGGGUCUCGAACCGGAUUAGAUACCCGGGUAGUCCUAGCCGUAAACGAUGCCUGUUAGGUGUGGCUCCCACUACGAGUGGGUGCUGUGCCGUAGGGAAGCCGCUAAACAGGCCGCCUGGGAAGUACGUCCGCAAGGAUGAAACUUAAAGGAAUUGGCGGGGGAGCACUACAACCGGAGGAGCCUGCGG
Molecule: ribosomal RNA, 561 nt
Filed under: uncultured haloarchaeon
Lineage: Archaea; Methanobacteriati; Methanobacteriota; Halobacteria; Halobacteriales; Halobacteriaceae
Description: bacterial SSU rRNA
Rfam family: Archaeal small subunit ribosomal RNA
Source: RNAcentral